RNAcentral lists this ribosomal RNA (253 nucleotides) under uncultured bacterium. RNAcentral describes it as "partial 16S ribosomal RNA". It matches the Rfam family "Bacterial small subunit ribosomal RNA", at positions 524 to 776 of the family's 1533-position model. The record is from RNAcentral.
UACGUAGGGGGCUAGCGUUGUCCGGAAUCAUUGGGCGUAAAGCGCGUGUAGGCGGUCCGGUAAGUCCGCUGUGAAAGUCGGGGGCUCAACCCUCGAAUGCCGGUGGAUACUGUCGGGCUAGAGUGCGGAAGAGGCGAGUGGAAUUCCUGGUGUAGCGGUGGAAUGCGCAGAUAUCAGGAGGAACACCAAUAGCGAAGGCAGCUCGCUGGGACGUUACUGACACUGAGGCGCGAAAGCGUGGGGAGCGAACAGG